RNAcentral lists this long non-coding RNA (222 nucleotides) under Gallus gallus (chicken). Lineage: Eukaryota; Metazoa; Chordata; Aves; Galliformes; Phasianidae. The record is from RNAcentral.
CUCCCACGCCCGCAGCCGCCGCCACCGCCAGCAGCGGCCCCGCACCGCUCCGCCCGGCCCGGCCCGCGGCCCCCCCGGCCCCCCCGGGAGCGGCCGCGCGGCGCAGCCAUGGGGCACCGGAGCCGGUAGCAACCGCGGCACGGCCACAGCACGGCCACGGCACGGCCACGGCACGGCCACAGCACGGGGACGUCGUGUGCUGGGAGCACCCCCACGACUGAG